GAAUUUAAGCAUAUUAGUAGGGAUGGUGAGGUGCAAUAACAAUGAUACCAGCAGUACUGGCGAACGAACCUGGUAAGUAGUCGUAGUGCAAUUCAUAUGACGUUGGUGCACGAGAUGUUCCAGCCACAGUCGUUGGAGUUAUUUGGUUGGAUCUGGUCGCAGCAAAGGUAUCGUGCCAAUGAGUCUUGUACAGCGAUCCGUGGCGAGGAAAAGCUUUGUAUGCCUAGGGUUACUUCAAUAUGUAGUCCCAUUAGCGGGGUAUGUUGCUCGCAUGCUCUACCUGGAGGUAAGACUGAUAGAGAAGGAGUAUAUCGUUAGAUGUGUAAUAUAUUGUUCGAACGGAAUCGUAGGUACUGAGUUUGUGUAGGGGAGGAAAUUGUAUAUAUAGAAAUCUUAUGCAUGGCGGUUAUACGGCUACUGUACGAUGCGCGAUUCUGUCCCAUUCGGACAGCUUACUGUGACACGCCUUCUGAAACUCGACCGCUCGCCCACCCAGUAUUACAUUGCUGUAUCCGCUAAUUGCCGGAGAAGGGAUUAUUGAAUUUGCUGUGCGGACAUAAAUCGUAUAUAUAAUGUCCCCGUCUUGAAACACGGAUCGAGGAGGGGAGAGUGGGAGGGAGUUUCGCAUCUAUCUGACUAAAGGAACAUUUCACGUGAACAUAAGAGAGAUAUCACCUCGUGAUGGUUGAGAGGCAUUCUAAAUCACUUCCCCCUUCCCGACCCGAAAGGCGGAGAACUAAUUUAAACGAUUGUCCACCCUGGAAAAAUACUGGAUCAUGGAUGCAGUGGUACUAACGUGCAAAUUGUUCGUUACAUGUCAAAUUUGGGGCGAAAGACUCAUCGAACUGCCUAGUAGCUGGUUAACCCCCAAUCUUCCCUCAGGAAUCUACGGUUUCUCUAUUUCUAUGUGGUAUAGCGAAUAUGUAGGGAUAUUGUAGGACAUUUACAAUUUCGUUAUUACUCUUGCAAUGUGUCAUGUACUGUACCGUGUCGCUUAGGGGUUGAAUUGGAAAUUGACUAGGAUUGCAUUUGGUAAGCAUGUGCGGUGAGGAAGAAUUGCCUUUCUGUGGGAUCAUUACAUUCGUAUGCCGUAUUCACAUCUGCAAAAUUGCGCUUCUUUGUGGUAAUAGUGGGACGGUGGUCAUGGAAGCUGAUAUCCGUUAACGAGUGUGUAAUUCCUCACCUGCCGAAUUUUGAGGUGCAGACAAUUCGAUGCUUUAUGUACGUCAUUUAAAUAUCCCCUGACUUCUUCUUCUAGUAUUUUAUGUGCCUAGGGGUUCCGGUUGAGCGGUCAAAGCGGCUGGUGUGAACAGGUGGCGGAAUGCUCGGGCGUGCAGAUCUUGGUAGGAGUAGAGAUUGUUCACGACAAUUGCCGUGUCAGCGCAACUGGGAAAUGUUUCCGUACAAACUGUCAUAGUGUAUGGCUGAGACGGGGGCAAUCUAUACCCGAAGUGGCUUCUCCAGUAGUCACGUCAUGACAUGGAUUGAAUAUGGGGGGUUGCAUUUUCGGCACGGCCAAUUUUCUUCUGGUGACUGGUUUGAGGGCGCGGGAAACCAUUGCGAUUGCAUGACAUUCGGCUGGUAUACUGUAACACGUGAUUAAUCCGCAAAUAUUCUAUGGAGUCAGAUUAGCUUGCGUGAAAUGCAAUGGAUUCAUUGGACAUCUGUCUUCGCAUGUGGACCGUACAACUCGCGCUCACGCACAUUAUAAUCACCCGUACUUAUAUCCGCAGCAGGUUCCCGAGAUUUAUUGUUUAACGUUUGUAGGGGAGAAUGUGCUACGGAAGUCGGCCACAUGGAUUUGUAACUUGGGGAGAGAUAUUUGCUCCGACGAUGACUUAGAAAUCGUGCUUACGCUAUCCAUUGCCAGUCUCCAUGGUUUCUCUCUCUUCGUGUGUGAUCGUGGCGUCUUUGGAAUAAGCUAUGUUUGAACGAUAUGUAGUGCGCGAUGCUUUCGGAACCACCGCUUCCCUAGGGUAUCUAUCUGUUUAAUUACAACAUCGCGUUGCGCUUGAUAAUGUAUCCAUAAUGCAACGUGAAUUCUGCCCAGUGCUCUGAUUGUAACGGUGAUGAAAAUUAUGUAAGCACGGGUCAAUGGCGGGAGUAACUAUGACUCUCUUAAGGUAGCCAAAUGCCUCGUCAUCUGAUUAGUGACGCGCAUGAAUGGGAUGAUGAGAUUCCUCCUGUCUCCGCACAAGGUCUGGCGAAACUACAGUAAUGCGAACAGGCAUUAGCAGUUGGGCGGGGAAAGAAGACCCUGUUGAGCUUGACUCUGCUCUGAUGUUCCGGGAUAAGUUAAUAGGAGUAGGAUAUGAGGGAGACCCGUCGUCCUUGGAAUACCUCAGCUAAUAAUCUUGUUCUGGUAACAAUGUGCUUCUCGUAAUUCUUAUGAUACCAUCGACAUGAACUAUUUUCAGCGCGCGUCCGACACUCAUUUGACAGGGAGUUUGGCUGGGGCGGUACACCUAUAAAAAGAUACCAGAGGUGUUCGACGAAGCGUGCACAAAACACAGAACUUUUGCUUUGAGUAGAUGGAUAUAAACGUUUAUAAUGUGUUCUGCAAAUAUCAGAAUGCGGUAGGAAACUAUGCCCAAUAGAUCCUUGUACGGGUGUCUUUUCCCUUCGAGGUGUCAGAAAAGUUACCACAGGGAUAACUGGCUUGUGGCAGCCAAGCGUUCAAAGCGACGUUGCUUUUUGAUCCUUCGAUGUCGGCUCUUCCUAGCAUUGAGUUGUAGAUUGCUCAAAGCGUCGGAUUGUUCACCCGCUGAUAGGGAACGUGAGCUGGGUUUAGACCGUCGUGAGACAGGUUAGUUUUACCCUACUUGAUUUGCGGUUCCUGCCCCGAAGAAUCUUGCCAGUACGAGAGGAACACUAUAUAUAGGAUGAUAUUUCCCUGGCGUGCGUGCCACUUCUUCCAGGCCAGUACUCCUGCAAUUCCACAUUUGAGCGCCUCUAAACAGGUAGAUUGACGGCCAGUGUAGGAAGAGGAUGUAUUUGCGACACUUUAUGAAAGGCUCUGUUGCUAAGGCUUUAAUGAUCGGUUGAAUCUUUCUUCUGCAUAAGAGGUAUAAUCGAAUCACAUCGAAUUGAUAUGCUGACGUGU
This 3103-nucleotide ribosomal RNA is filed under the name Pseudomonadota bacterium. Its description in RNAcentral is "eukaryotic LSU rRNA". It matches the Rfam family "Eukaryotic large subunit ribosomal RNA". Lineage: Bacteria; Pseudomonadati; Pseudomonadota. The record is from RNAcentral.